RNAcentral lists this non-coding RNA (21 nucleotides) under Caenorhabditis elegans. Lineage: Eukaryota; Metazoa; Nematoda; Chromadorea; Rhabditida; Rhabditidae. The record is from RNAcentral.
UUUCCACUCCAGAAGAAAAGA